UGCCAUAUCACGUUGAAGUACCGGUUCCCCUACGAUAACUGAAGUUAAGAAACGUAGGGCUUGGUCAAGAUGGGUGACCGUUUGGGAAUACCACGUGAUGUAAG
Non-coding RNA from Acanthosepion pharaonis, 104 nucleotides. Lineage: Eukaryota; Metazoa; Mollusca; Cephalopoda; Sepiida; Sepiidae. The record is from the annotation of a GenBank genome assembly.